Molecule: transfer RNA, 69 nt
Filed under: Sphaerodactylus townsendi
Lineage: Eukaryota; Metazoa; Chordata; Lepidosauria; Squamata; Sphaerodactylidae
Description: tRNA-Ser
Source: RNAcentral
GCCGUGGAUCAGUGAUAGAGCAUCUGCUUGGAAUGCAGAAGGCCCCAGCUUCAGUCCCCAGCAUCUCCA